This 381-nucleotide long non-coding RNA is filed under the name Vigna radiata. Its description in RNAcentral is "long non-coding RNA (VRAD_LNC006801)". The record is from RNAcentral. Lineage: Eukaryota; Viridiplantae; Streptophyta; Magnoliopsida; Fabales; Fabaceae.
GGGACAUCAGUGCACAUAUGCUUGAAUUUAUUGGCAAGAGGAUGGUUUUGAAGAGAAUGAGAGUUGUUUGGAAUGGUUUGGAAGACUGGGACCGGCACAUGGGUACUACAAUCCUCAAAGGAGAUGUAAUACGUGAGUGCCAAGAUGAAACAAGAUAUACCAAAAAAAUUUUUGCCCUGGUUUAGUGUUUGGGAAAAUGAGCAUAGGGGUAUGGAUACAUGAAAAUAAGGGUGAACAAAUCAAAUGAGACUUGCAAAUCUGCCCCAGUCUUGGUAUCAUGGGUUGAUGAAAAAUUUGUAUGAGACUCACAAAGCUGCCCUAGUCUUGGGUCAUGGGUUGAUGAAAAAUUUGUAUGAGACUCCCAAAGUUGCCCCAGUUUUU